RNAcentral lists this ribosomal RNA (434 nucleotides) under uncultured bacterium. RNAcentral's name for it is "partial 16S ribosomal RNA". It matches the Rfam family "Bacterial small subunit ribosomal RNA", at positions 29 to 507 of the family's 1533-position model. The record is from RNAcentral.
ACGAACGCUGGCGGCAUGCCUAACACAUGCAAGUCGAACGAUUGCCUUCGGGUGAUAGUGGCGCACGGGUGCGUAACGCGUGGGAAUCUGCCCUUAGGUUCGGAAUAACAGCUGGAAACGGCUGCUAAUACCGGAUGAUAUCGCGAGAUCAAAGAUUUAUCGCCUGAGGAUGAGCCCGCGUUGGAUUAGGUAGUUGGUGGGGUAAAGGCCUACCAAGCCGACGAUCCAUAGCUGGUCUGAGAGGAUGAUCAGCCACACUGGGACUGAGACACGGCCCAGACUCCUGCGGGAGGCGGGAGAGGGGAAUAUUGGGCAAUGGGCGCAAGGCUGAUGCAGCAAUGCCGCGUGAGUGAUGAAGGCCCUAGGGUUGUAAAGCUCUUUUACCCGGGAAGAUAAUGACUGUACCGGGAGAAUAAGCCCCGGCUAACUCCGUG